GGUAGCUAAAUGCGGAAGAGAUAAGUGCUGAAAGCAUCUAAGCACGAAACUUGCCCCGAGAUGAGUUCUCCCUGAGACUAUAAGUCUCCUGAAGGAACGUUAAAGACUAUGACGUUGAUAGGUCGGGUGUGUAAGUGUAGCGAUACAUUGAGCUAACCGAUACUAAUGAACCGUGAGGCUUAACCUU
Molecule: ribosomal RNA, 187 nt
Filed under: Citrobacter freundii
Lineage: Bacteria; Pseudomonadati; Pseudomonadota; Gammaproteobacteria; Enterobacterales; Enterobacteriaceae
Description: partial 23S ribosomal RNA
Rfam family: Bacterial large subunit ribosomal RNA
Source: RNAcentral